AGCAGUAGCCACGGGAAUACGGAGGGUGCAAGCGUUAAUCGGAAUUACUGGGCGUAAAGCGCACGCAGGCGGUCUGACAAGUCAGAUGUGAAAUCCCCGGGCUUAACCUGGGAACUGCAUUUGAAACUGUCAGGCUGGAGUCUUGUAGAGGGGGGUGGAAUUCCAGGUGUAGCGGUGAAAUGCGUAGAGAUCUGGAGGAAUACCGGUGGCGAAGGCGGCCCCCUGGACAAAGACUGACGCUCAGGUGCGAAAGCGUGGGGAGCAAUCAGGAUUAGAUACCCGAGUAGUCCCUGUCUCUUAUAC
This 303-nucleotide ribosomal RNA is filed under the name uncultured bacterium. RNAcentral's name for it is "partial 16S ribosomal RNA". It matches the Rfam family "Bacterial small subunit ribosomal RNA", at positions 507 to 807 of the family's 1533-position model. The record is from RNAcentral.